Molecule: ribosomal RNA, 484 nt
Filed under: uncultured bacterium
Lineage: Bacteria
Description: partial 16S ribosomal RNA
Rfam family: Bacterial small subunit ribosomal RNA
Source: RNAcentral
AUUGAACGCUGGCGGUAGGCCUAACACAUGCAAGUCGAGCGGAUGAAGGGAGCUUGCUCCUGGAUUCAGCGGCGGACGGGUGAGUAAUGCCUAGGAAUCUGCCUGGUAGUGGGGGAUAACGUCCGGAAACGGGCGCUAAUACCGCAUACGUCCUGAGGGAGAAAGUGGGGGAUCUUCGGACCUCACGCUAUCAGAUGAGCCUAGGUCGGAUUAGCUAGUUGGUGGGGUAAAGGCCUACCAAGGCGACGAUCCGUAACUGGUCUGAGAGGAUGAUCAGUCACACUGGAACUGAGACACGGUCCAGACUCCUACGGGAGGCAGCAGUGGGGAAUAUUGGGCAAUGGGCGAAAGCCUGAUCCAGCCAUGCCGCGUGUGUGAAGAAGGUCUUCGGAUUGUAAAGCACUUUAAGUUGGGAGGAAGGGCAGUAAGUUAAUACCUUGCUGUUUUGACGUUACCAACAGAAUAAGCACCGGCUAACUUCGUG